AGCUUUGCGCAGUGGCAGUAUUGUAGCCAAUGAGGUUUAUCUGAGACGCGAUUAUUGCUAAUUGAAAACUUUUCCUAAUAGUCUGCCAUGACGACUUGAAAUAUAGUCGGCAUUGGCAACUUUUGGCAGUCUCUAAGGGGA
Small nuclear RNA from Aotus nancymaae (Ma's night monkey), 141 nucleotides. Its record names the gene U4. It matches the Rfam family "U4 spliceosomal RNA". From Rfam's summary of the family: U4 small nuclear RNA (U4 snRNA) is a component of the major U2-dependent spliceosome. The structure of U4 snRNA from yeast and human has been reported. The record is from Ensembl. Lineage: Eukaryota; Metazoa; Chordata; Mammalia; Primates; Aotidae.